GAUGAAGAACGCAGUGAAAUGCGAUAAGUAAUGUGAAUUGCAUUAUCUCGUGAAUCAUCAAAUUUUUGAACGCAUCUUGCACUCUUCUCUGGAAGAGUAUAUUUGUUUGAGUAUUAUUAAAAUUAUUUUUAUUGGAGUUUGUUAUUAUAUAUUUAUAUAUAAUAUCCUCUUAAAUUUUAGUAUAAAAAAUAUAUUUUCUUGAUAAAUAUCAUAGAAAUUAUAUAAAACCCACAAGACAGGAAAUUAUUAUUAUUUUAAUCUCAAAUCAAAUAAGAUUACCCGCUGAACUUAAGCAUAUCAAUAAGCGGAGGA
Molecule: unclassified non-coding RNA, 312 nt
Filed under: soil metagenome
Description: partial contains internal transcribed spacer 2 and large subunit ribosomal RNA
Rfam family: 5.8S ribosomal RNA (bases 1-116)
Source: RNAcentral